RNAcentral lists this transfer RNA (66 nucleotides) under Eurydema qinlingensis. RNAcentral's name for it is "tRNA-Thr". It matches the Rfam family "tRNA". From Rfam's summary of the family: Transfer RNA (tRNA) molecules are approximately 80 nucleotides in length. Their secondary structure includes four short double-helical elements and three loops (D, anti-codon, and T loops). Lineage: Eukaryota; Metazoa; Arthropoda; Insecta; Hemiptera; Pentatomidae. The record is from RNAcentral.
GUUUUAAUAGUUUAAUAGAAAACAAUGAUUUUGUAAAUCAUAAAUAGGAAAUAUACCUUUAAAACU